RNAcentral lists this ribosomal RNA (458 nucleotides) under uncultured bacterium. RNAcentral's name for it is "partial 16S ribosomal RNA". It matches the Rfam family "Bacterial small subunit ribosomal RNA", at positions 338 to 795 of the family's 1533-position model. The record is from RNAcentral.
CCUACGGGAGGCAGCAGUGAGGAAUAUUGGUCAAUGGCCGGAAGGCUGAACCAGCCAUGCCGCGUGAAGGUCAGUGCCCUAUGGGCGUUAAACUUCUUUUGUGCGGGAGCAAUAAUGGUCACGUGUGGCCAGACGAGAGUACCGCACGAAUAAGCAUCGGCUAACUCCGUUCCAGCCGCCGCGGUAAUACGGGGGAUGCAAGCGUUAUCCGGAUUUAUUGGGUUUUAAGGGUUCGCAGGCGGCGGGCCAAGUCAGCGGUAAAAUGUCGGGGCGCAACCCCGGCCGGCCGGUGAAACUGGCGUGCUCGAGUUGGAGAGAAGUAUGCGGAAUGCGUGGUGUAGCGGUGAAAUGCAUAGAUAUCACGAAGAACCCCGAUUGCGAAGGCAGCAUACCGGCUCCACACUGACGCUGAGGCACGAAAGCGUGGGUAUCGAACAGGAUUAGAUACCCCAGUAGUC